ACGAGGCGCGUGGCACUGAGCGCCCAGGGCCGGGCCCACAGCAGGGGCCCCCUACCUGUCUGUGUACCCUGACGCGCGUGACCCGCCCUCGUGCCAUGGCAGCCGAGACGCAGCUGAGCGCGUGAUAGUCGGACGGACGUGAUCGCACCUCGCAGACCAGACUUCAGCAGGACACUGGUCACCGAGGUAGGGUCCAUUUCAACGGUCUGGCUUAUGACAAGGCAAUGGGAUCCCAGGGAGCCUGAAUGACUCUCCCUUGCCCAGGAGUGGGCAGAAGCUCGCCCAUCCCAGUAGGAUGUCUGCUGGCAAAUUCCAGCAGAGGACUCCGUUCCCAGCCCUGCUGCUGCUUCUGGUUUAUAGGUGAGAUGGUCCUCCAUUCAAAGUCAAGUUUGUUUGCCCAGCUUGCACAUCAUGACCUUGGAAAUGCACCCUCAUCACUGUCUACUUGACAAGGACAUCCAUACGUGGUGCUCAGCUUCUCUAAUCUCCUGAUGAUGAUGGAGACGUGGAGACGUGGAGAUGACGAAGCUUGGCGAGGCCAGAAGUGUUGUCCUCACAAACCAAGGCAUAUCUAGAACACUCAUGCAGAGGGAGGCAGCUGCCGUAAUCAAUCUGCCAGUCCCUCACAGGUUGGGAACUCCAAUGGCGUCUUUGGAUAUAAGUCACCCACCUGGGUACCAAGGUGACCACUUCCUGGGCAUCCAGUCUGCUGUGUCUACUAAACGCCCACAUCCAUUCCUGGCAUUCGUCAGUUGUGCCCAGAUCAGCAGAGAUUGCCCAACAUUGUAAGUGUCCUACCCCAGGAUUGGGCUCAGCAUGGGUAUCAGUGUCCCACAGCAGGUGCUGGGACGGACUGGAGAAUCUCGGCUUUCUUCACUGCAGAGUAUGUACCCCAUCAGGGGCCCAAGACGGAUUGCAGAUGUCCCGCCCCACUCCCAACUCCGUAAGAAUUUGUUGUGCCUCCUCUACAGAUGGGCCGGAAAGUGCUGCUCAUUGGACCAAGCCUCCCUGCAGGACAGAAGAAUCGAGUCCGUUAGGAACUGAGCACCUUGACCACCUGAGCACCACACAGGUGUUUCCAGAGGGCCAGGCGGGGAGAGAUGUUGCUCAUUCUUUCUGCCUCCUGCCCGCUCACAGAAAAGCCAUCACCUCCACACUGCCACUCCCCGAAAGUCAACCAGGGGAGUGCUCUGUGGUCAGAGAGAGGUUGAAGGAUGCUCCCCCAUGAGAUGCUGCCACACUCCACAGAGUGACGUGCUUGUCAUACAGGAUUGUGCGAGACCCUCUUUAGGCCUUGUGGUGGGGCUCUACUAUAUCCCCUGUGUCAUUCUGGAUGUCAGAAGCCCUGAGGGUUAUGACAGAAUGUGACCUUGGCCAUGACAGAGACAAAGGAGCCAUCAAAGGAGGUCCCUGCUGCUUCUACAAAUACAGUGUCCAUCUCUCUACCUGCCUAAUAGGGAUAGGCUAGGUCAGCAGUCGGCUUUUAAUAUACAACAUCCCACAGUCCUGACUUUGCACCCAGAAGGAUCACCCCUAGGCUUUUUGGGAAGAACUUCAGACACCAUUCUUCUAUACAAUCAUCCUGAGUCCUGAAUGUCCAUAGCUUCCACACGGCAGUCUUCCCGGAGCCUUCAGUACCUUCCGUGCUGUCACCAUACCCAACAGCAGUAGCACCAAGGAGCGAUCCUUUCACAAGGCCACCACAACAAGUAGCUAACUGAGAUCCAUAGGACCAGUCUCCGGGUCCUCACUGAAAUGAUCUUAUGACCCUCUGGGGACGCUGACCCUGGUUUGGGAAUUACUGGUUGAGAUGAACAAAUGGGAGUGGACUUCUCAUGGUGUUAUGUACCCACCCACUAAAAUUAGGGCGGUUGGAUGCACCACAUCAUUCUCCCUCUUAACAGGGAUCAAUGGUUCACCCUCUAGAAAUAUGGGGUGCUCCUUCCCAGAACUUCUGUCUGCUGCUCUGAACAAGGAACAUGUGUCAUUUCCUGAGACCACAGCCAAAUUUCCCCUGCUCUGGGGAGGGGACCUUAGAGAAUGGUUGUGGGGGGAGGACACAGAGAUCACAUGGGGAUCACAGAUUGAGUACAAGAUGUCCCAGGUUGGGUCUCCAGUGCAGCAGUCCCUCACAUGGAAAGUAGCAUGUAGGAAAUUUAUUAGGGAGUGGUCUCAGCAUCGAGAAUCAUCAUGGGAAGGGAACAAGCUCAUGCAGAGGGAGGAGCAGAUGGUCAGCUUGGAAGCAUCUCUGUGAAGAUCUCAGCCAAUCCCAGAGACAACCUGAGGCUGGGACAAUCUCUCAGAGUGGCCUUGAGUCGUGUGAAGGAGCCUUGCUCUCAUGCCCCAUGUUCUCCAGCCUUUGGACGCACUGCUGUGGAAAAGGACAGUGAUCCUGAAUGACACGGUCAAGGCACGUUCCAAAGAGGGCUGAUGACUGAGCACUCUGCAGGUGGAAACCUCAGCCACGGGGGAGAUCAAUCCUGCAUUCUGACACAGGAGUUGGGUGGCUCAUCCCAGCAUCC
Mustela lutreola (European mink) is the source of this 2522-nucleotide long non-coding RNA. RefSeq lists it as uncharacterized. The transcript is spliced from 5 exons. The record is from RefSeq and is a predicted model, not a curated record. NCBI's taxonomy places the organism in Eukaryota, Metazoa, Chordata, Mammalia, Carnivora, Mustelidae.